This is a long non-coding RNA of Zea mays, 402 nucleotides long. RefSeq lists it as uncharacterized. The record is from RefSeq and is a predicted model, not a curated record. Lineage: Eukaryota; Viridiplantae; Streptophyta; Magnoliopsida; Poales; Poaceae. The transcript has 4 exons.
UCAUCUACACGCGAAAAUGACUCAAUUUUCGACAAAUUUGAGUGUUGUCAAAGUGGUGAUGGAUUAAGAGUAGAAACUGGUUCCUACAGCAACAUUUUUCGCGUGUUUGGUUGUCGUUCUGGUACCAGUGAAGCAACAACACUUGAAGCAACCCGAAACCCUACAAGGUGGCAGGUCCAGACUACCUCUAGAGCUACCAGAUCCCUAAGUACUCUGACAAGGGCCGUUAGACGAGGUGGAGAGAGCACUGAAAUAGAUGCCAAUGGAAAUUCCUAUGAUCUGAGCACAAAGUUGCUCCAUUUGGCCUGGCACCCAUCUGAAAAUCUAAUUGCUUGUGCUGCAGCCAAUAGCUUGUACAUGUACUACGCAUAAACAAGCGAAACGAAUAGAGCGACAGUUUUU